Molecule: non-coding RNA, 28 nt
Filed under: Homo sapiens (human)
Lineage: Eukaryota; Metazoa; Chordata; Mammalia; Primates; Hominidae
Source: RNAcentral
UUGGGUAAUGCAACCAUAGGGCAGGAAA